GUUGGUACAAAACUGGUGCUCUUGAGCUUGAGUGGAUUUGUUACUAUAACAGAUUCAUUUUCAGCAUUAAUUUUAUUUUUUUUUAUAUCAGUAAGAGUUAACAUGGGAUGUGUAACCAGCAUAAAAAGCCAAACACUUAAGUGCUAAUUAUUUUUCAAAGAAAAAAUUUUUUCAUUGAGAUACAACAAAAUAAUGUGAGAUGUUUCUUCUGCACUUAAUAUAAAACCAACUUCUUUAAGUUUCUGUAUACAAUGUGUGUCCAUUUAUAAUGUUAGUAGCUAACCUCUCCUGUUGUUUCUUUAUUCAGACUUAUACAGAUUCCCUUUUCCUCUGAGGAGUGUAAUUAUGAGAAUCAGGAAUAAUAUUUUCAAAUUGUCACAUAAAUAUUUCUGAAAUUCCACACUCUAUGGAUUUUGUACACACACAACUCUGACCUUCUUCUGGACUUUAGGAUCAUACUUCCAAGGAGGCUAGGGAGAAGAUGAAUUGAUGAAUAUGUAAAGCAGUGAACAGUUCAUUGGGGAUGCACGUUUUCAUAAAAGGACACAUCCCUUCUCCUUACAUUGAGCAAGGUACAAUGCCUAGCAUACUUAUCUACCAAGGUCCCAAGCAUUGAUCCAGGAUAUGAAAGCCACUAUUAAGAUGUUCUGGAGGAUGAGACAUGGGAACAUCUUAGCCCAGCUAUCACCUGGCUGCAAUGGUAUGACAGACUUCAAGUGAAACCAGAAGAACUGCCCAGAAUCAAUGGCUUAUACAAAACACCUUUUCUGCCAGACACCUACCUAAUAUAUGCUUCUCCUUCCUUGACGGUGCUCAGAGAGACAAAGUGCCAAAAACAAUAAAAUACUUAGGAAUAAAAUUAGCCAUGGAAGUGAAAGACCUGAAUACUGAAAACAAUAAAACAUUGAUGAAAUACACUG
Molecule: long non-coding RNA, 920 nt
Organism: Leopardus geoffroyi (Geoffroy's cat)
Lineage: Eukaryota; Metazoa; Chordata; Mammalia; Carnivora; Felidae
Exons: 5
Source: RefSeq, a predicted model, not a curated record